Molecule: long non-coding RNA, 344 nt
Organism: Gopherus flavomarginatus (Mexican gopher tortoise)
Lineage: Eukaryota; Metazoa; Chordata; Testudines; Testudinidae
Exons: 3
Source: RefSeq, a predicted model, not a curated record
GACUUCCGUAUGAAACUUUUCUCACAUUCCAAGCACUUAUGGGGUCUCUCUCCUGUAUGGAUUGCCUGAUGUUUAACAAGGCUUGACCUGUGUAUGAAAUUUUUUCCACAGCGCAAGCAUUUGUGGGAUCUCUUUCCUGUGUGGACUGCCUGAUGAUUAACAAGCUUUGACCUCCGUAUGAAACUUUUCCCACAUUCCAAGCACUUGUGGGGUCUCUCUCCUGUGUGGAUCCCGUGAUGAUUAACAAGGUCUGAUCUUCGCUUGAAACUUUUCCCACAGUUCAAGCAUUUAUGAGGGCUUUCUUCUGUAUGGACUACCUGAUGACUAAAAAGGUUGGACCUGUA